Non-coding RNA from Meleagris gallopavo (turkey), 697 nucleotides. The record is from RefSeq and is a predicted model, not a curated record. NCBI's taxonomy places the organism in Eukaryota, Metazoa, Chordata, Aves, Galliformes, Phasianidae.
GGAGUAUUAUGCUAUUAGAUGCCCUGUAAAGUAGUCCUAAGUUCCUCAUUCACUUUGGUUUUGCUUUUUAUAGAGUGACUGUCGUACUUGGAGUUGGAAACCUCACAUAGUGCUAUAAGAAAUGAGCAAAGGCAUCACAAAUCUGAGACAGUGUCUACCCCCAAGACAACUUACGUGAAUGAAACCUGAACGGAAAUAAAUAUUAACAAUGAAAACAUCCAUAGGAAUCAUGCUUCUCCAGGAAGGCAAGCUAUGUUGCAGUGGUAAUGCCCUGCAUCAACAACUGUACAUGCUUUAGAGACCUGGAGAAAUAAUUACAGCGGUGUGGUAUUCUGACUUCUGCUUCUGUGAAGAUCUAACUGAAUGUCUCGAGGAGGUCAUUUUUAUGGACUACUAAAGGAGGCCUUGGAGAGUGCUGUUGUGGAUGUGGAUGAGGGUGACUCAUCUGGCUAUAGAGCUGGAAAUGGAAAUGUAAUAUUAAAGAAAAUAAAUAACAAGGCUGAAAAGAGAAUUAAAUGAGGAAAUGAGGCGUGAAUGCGUGAGACAGAGGUUAGUCUACUGCAUCAUCUUCCACCAUCUUGAACUUCCAAAUGGGAAUCUACUGUAUAUUGGGAAGGAAGAAAGGGAGAACGAAAGCAGUGAGUAUUACAAAAGCUUGUUUAUUAGAUGCUUUAACUCUGUAACUCUUUUGUUUUUU